AACGAACGCUGGCGGCAGGCCUAACACAUGCAAGUCGAGCGCCCUCGCAAGAGGGAGCGGCGGACGGGUGAGUAACGCGUGGGAAUUUUCCUCAAGGUACGGAACAACUCAGGGAAACUUGGGCUAAUACCGUAUGAUGUCUAGCGACCAAAGAUUUAUCGCCUUGGGAUAAGCCCGCGUCAGAUUAGGUAGUUGGUGGGGUAACGGCCUACCAAGCCUGCGAUCUGUAGCUGGUCUGAGAGGACGAUCAGCCACAUUGGGACUGAGACACGGCCCAAACUCCUACGGGAGGCAGCAGUGGGGAAUCUUGCGCAAUGGGCGAAAGCCUGACGCAGCCGUGCCGCGUGAAUGAUGAAGGUCUUAGGAUUGUAAAGUUCUUUCGCCCGUGACGAUGAUGACGGUAACGGGAGAAGAAGCCCCGGCUAACUUCGUGCCAGCCGCCGCUGUAA
This 449-nucleotide ribosomal RNA is filed under the name uncultured bacterium. Its description in RNAcentral is "partial 16S ribosomal RNA". It matches the Rfam family "Bacterial small subunit ribosomal RNA", at positions 29 to 523 of the family's 1533-position model. The record is from RNAcentral.